CAACUCCAUGUGCACUUCAGUUUCGAUCGAUCAUAUGUUUUCUUUGUGUAGUUUUUUCAGCCGCUGUAAUUCGAAUUGGUUAGAAUUUUCAUCGUUUAUGUACGCGAUAAUAAAUUCAUUAUUAGUUCUAACAGUGAUUUCCGGGCUCAGUAGAGUGUCGUUGUGUUAAAAUAUUUUUUUAGGACCGAAAUUAAGUGGUGCAUACAAGUGCAUUAUUGUGUGCACGUGCUUGCAUUCUUCAGGCUAAUUCCAAAGUUUCAGUUUUCAAACCGACUGAAAACUGUUGUAGUAUACAAAAGAACGUUUGUACCGCCUAUUUAACGCGUCGCAGUCGCGAAAUUUGCCGUUUUCACGUUAAAACGUGCAUUUGAAAGUGUUGCAGGAGAUGAUAGGUUGGAAUCCUCGUUUCGGUUAUUUUUUUCGUCGUGUUUUCUUCAUGGAUUAUUGUUUUGGGAUGUUUAACCUCAUGGAUGAAGUGCUAGUGAUAAAUGCGGCCAUAAUGAAAUACAUGUGCAAGUGUAAUUGUGCCACGGAUGGUUCAGUGCCGCAGUGUUGGAUAAAUAGUGAAAACGAUAUGUACAUAACAUGAGAUAAACGUGGCGAAUUUGGCGAGAACACGUCGUGUGAUUGGAAAACGAUAGAUUCAAAAAAUAUUCUUAUUGGUGAACACAUGAUCAAAUUCCAUGAGGGGUGUGUGUGUAGUAUGGAAAACUAUCGGAAAUGUUCCUCUAAAAAUACUUGAAGCCUCUUUUUAGUGUAAUUAAGGAUAUAUAUCAAAGUAAUCUGAUUUACACAAUGUGUUCACGUCAAAAGUUAUUGGUGUAAACAGUUUUAAAAAUGUGGUUAGUAAGUGUGCACAUUGGAUGCAGUGUUUUCCACGAGAUGGCGCUGCUCGGAUUGUUGCUGAGUAAGUGAGAUACUUGUUUAACCACCGUCUGCUAGAUGGCGUUGGUCCAUCGAGUUCAGUAGCCGAUAAACACGCACCGAUAACACGUACAGCUCAAGGCGUGAAAUAGCAUUUCCUGCUAUUACUAAACAUAUUGUUACUACCACCUGCCACCACUUACAGCAAUGAUUCAACGCAGCACGUCUGAUGCGGAAUCUAGUUCAUUUAACACCUAGCUAUCGCUGAAUGCAGUUAUCCUCAUCCGCCGCCACUUAGUUAGGAAGAUUGCGUUACAACUAUAUCGAUUACUCUCUUAUCCUAGAAACAUUUGGAAUACAACGAAAUACGCAGUCAACUGUUAUCAUCGUACUUGCGAAUAUUAUCUGUUCUAACUUCACACGUGAUAGUGCUUAACUGCGAUUUCGUUUGUUCUUGGGAUGCGUUGGUUUGUGACGCGACGUAGUCCAAUGUUGCCUUAAGAUUUAUUGUUACCGUCCACUAUUGUAAGAUUGCGGAGGAAACAGAAAAAAUGCUUCUUUAGUAUAUAAGUUUUGUGACUUUGAAACAAACAAUUGUGAUCUUGUCGUACGUUUUUCCGGUUUCCUUCGCGAUGUUUCACACUGUCACGCGUUUGUUUAGUUUUAUUAUUUAAGCUUUCACGUUGUACUUUAAUGUUUUGAAUACCAUUGACUAACAAACACUAAACAUUUCUAACGCAUGACCUUUAUUUUACAAUAUCAACUCGCGAGUGUGCAUGACGUCAACAGAUUAGUUUUAUAUUGUUCAUACUUGUCUUACAUUUGUUAUAAUAUUUAGACAAUCCGCUACUCUGACAUGUUCAUGUUUUACAAUAAUACGAUUGUUUAUUUACAUUAUAUUGAUUAUGUAAAUGUUUACUUCAACAAUUUGUUCCCGUACAAAUUUGGAGAUCUUUAUGCGAACACGUCGUACGCCUUGCUCCAUAAAACUUGAUUUUAGGUGUUUGUAGGUGUUACUUAAAUUCGAGUUUUAGUCAAUGCAUGGCAACACCCGGGUGAUUGCAUUCUAGUUUUUUGUCAGAUGAAAAAUUUGAUUAUGCAAUCUGUUUGAUUUAAUGAUGAUUAUGUUUAAUUUAAUUAUUUUAAUUCAAUAAACGUUUCGGCAUGA
This 2032-nucleotide unclassified non-coding RNA is filed under the name Manduca sexta (tobacco hornworm). Its description in RNAcentral is "mitochondrial cardiolipin hydrolase, transcript variant X2". The record is from RNAcentral. Lineage: Eukaryota; Metazoa; Arthropoda; Insecta; Lepidoptera; Sphingidae.